RNAcentral lists this long non-coding RNA (262 nucleotides) under Vigna radiata. RNAcentral's name for it is "long non-coding RNA (VRAD_LNC014127)". Lineage: Eukaryota; Viridiplantae; Streptophyta; Magnoliopsida; Fabales; Fabaceae. The record is from RNAcentral.
UGACACAUUGCAAAGACAUUCUUGGCAGACCAAUUUUGGGGGGCUGCAACAUUUUCUCCAGGGAGUUGAUUUAUUCUUUGAAGAAUGUUACACUUUGACUUUGGUUGAAUGAAAAAUGGGGCGUCCAACCGCCACCCACUUAGAACAAGCAAAUUUUUCUUUUCUUUUAUAAUUACUCGGUACAUUUAUUUUCUUGUUUUUUGCUUAUAAGAGAUUGCUCACGGUUUGGAGAUUUAAUAGUUGUAGCCGCCACUCACCAUUG